AUUUGUUAUUACAUCCCUGACAAAAAUGGUUGUGGGAACUGAACUGUCUCUUUGCUUUUUGGCAGGUGGAAAUACAAUAGCAGAACACUAACAAAUUGAGAGGAUGAAGGGAAAAUGUGAUGUGUACAACAAAGAAGAUUAUAGAUGGUGUAAACUUCCAAAUAUUAAAAUAUAGGAAAGGAGAAAGCAAGCCCAGUUACUGUAAGUAUGCAGAUUUCAUGAACAAUUUCUGAAUUUUGUACUAUCUCUGAAUUAGCUUCAGUAG
Molecule: long non-coding RNA, 265 nt
Filed under: Gopherus agassizii (Agassiz's desert tortoise)
Lineage: Eukaryota; Metazoa; Chordata; Testudines; Testudinidae
Description: lncRNA (ENSGAGG00000019561.1)
Source: RNAcentral